CUCUCUUUCCUUUUUGAGAAAUGCUUUUGCGAAGAAGUCAUAGUACAAAGUUAGCAACAUGCCAAUCCGAUUGUCACUGAAAGAUCUGAAAUUUACUCCAUUUCCCAGCCAAUGACUCAUAUCCUGCGUCAUAAACUGUCUAGAAGUGAGAACGUGGUGUCUCUUGGGAAGCAAAAGAGAUUCAUUGUGAGCAGAGUGUGCUCCUCAAGGUUCCUGCUGAGGUCCGAGCAAAGAUGGACACCUGCUUCUGUUGGGUUAACUGGCCCAGUCAUGGCUUCAGUCUCUUGCAACUGUCAGGCUCCUGGAUGUUUCUUCUUUGGCCCCCCAAGGCUGGUCUGGAACCCUCCACCCUGUGCCUGUGCAGCACCAGCCUCCACCCAGCCGGGUCCCUCCUGAGUGAACUUCCCAGGGAUGCUGAGCCCCACCUGGAAGUCAGUGAGGCUUAGGUCAUCAGCACUGCUUCUUGCUGGCUGAAGACCCUGCUUCCCUUCUCCAAGCCUCAGUACCUUCCACUGUCCAAUGGGGAUAAUAGGAUCUUCUUCCUAGCUCUGCUGCAGGUAUUCUGGGAAAUAAUAUAUGUCCUCUAGUCAGUGAGCAGGAAAAGCUA
This 607-nucleotide long non-coding RNA is filed under the name Vulpes vulpes (red fox). RNAcentral's name for it is "lncRNA (ENSVVUG00000018295.1)". Lineage: Eukaryota; Metazoa; Chordata; Mammalia; Carnivora; Canidae. The record is from RNAcentral.